GUUGCGAUAGUAAUUCUGCUCAGUACGAGAGGAACCGCAGAUUCAUACACUUGGUUCACGUGCUUGGUCGGAACACCAGUGGCGCGAAGCUACUGGUGGUGCGAAACUACUGGAUUAUGAC
This 121-nucleotide ribosomal RNA is filed under the name Haemaphysalis longicornis (longhorned tick). RNAcentral's name for it is "Eukaryotic large subunit ribosomal RNA". It matches the Rfam family "Eukaryotic large subunit ribosomal RNA", at positions 3010 to 3128 of the family's 3401-position model. The record is from Rfam by way of RNAcentral. Lineage: Eukaryota; Metazoa; Arthropoda; Arachnida; Ixodida; Ixodidae.